This 258-nucleotide ribosomal RNA is filed under the name uncultured Sunxiuqinia sp. Its description in RNAcentral is "partial 16S ribosomal RNA". It matches the Rfam family "Bacterial small subunit ribosomal RNA", at positions 546 to 805 of the family's 1533-position model. The record is from RNAcentral. Lineage: Bacteria; Pseudomonadati; Bacteroidota; Bacteroidia; Marinilabiliales; Prolixibacteraceae.
CGGAUUUAUUGGGUUUAAAGGGUGCGCAGGUGGCCUUGUAAGUCAGUGGUGAAAGUCUGCCGCUUAACGGUAGGAUUGCCAUUGAUACUGCAGGGCUUGAGUUUGGAUGAGGUAGGCGGAAUGUGUAGUGUAGCGGUGAAAUGCAUAGAUAUUACACAGAACACCGAUUGCGAAGGCAGCUUACUAACCCACAACUGACACUGAGGCACGAAAGCGUGGGGAUCAAACAGGAUUAGAUACCCGAGUAGUCGUCAGUAC